Non-coding RNA from Macaca mulatta (Rhesus monkey), 88 nucleotides. The record is from Rfam. NCBI's taxonomy places the organism in Eukaryota, Metazoa, Chordata, Mammalia, Primates, Cercopithecidae.
UCUCAGGCUGUGACCCUCUAAAGGGAAGUGCUUUCUGUUGUGUGAAAGAAAACGAAAUCGCUUCCCUUUGGAGCGUUACAGUUUGAGA